Molecule: ribosomal RNA, 510 nt
Filed under: uncultured bacterium
Lineage: Bacteria
Description: partial 16S ribosomal RNA
Rfam family: Bacterial small subunit ribosomal RNA
Source: RNAcentral
GACGAACGCUGGCGGCGUGCUUAACACAUGCAAGUCGAACGAAGAGCGAUGGAAGCUUGCUUCUAUCAAUCUUAGUGGCGAACGGGUGAGUAACGCGUAAUCAACCUGCCCUUCAGAGGGGGACAACAGUUGGAAACGACUGCUAAUACCGCAUACGAUCUAAUCUCGGCAUCGAGGAUAGAUGAAAGGUGGCCUCUACAUGUAAGCUAUCACUGCAGGAGGGGAUUGCGUCUGAUUAGCUAGUUGGAGGGGUAACGGCCCACCAAGGCGAUGAUCAGUAGCCGGUCUGAGAGGAUGAACGGCCACAUUGGGACUGAGACACGGCCCAGACUCCUACGGGAGGCAGCAGUGGGAAAUCUUCCGCAAUAGACGAAAGUCUGACGGAGCAACGCCGCGUGAGGGAUGACGGCCUUCGGGUUGUAAAGCUCUGUUAAUCGGGACGAAAGGCCUUCUUGCGAAUAGUGAGAAGGAUUGACGGUACCGGAAUAGAAAGCCACGGCUAACUACGUG